AUGCCAGACUCCUACGGGAGGCAGCAGUGGGGGAUAUUGCACAAUGGGGGAAGCCCUGAUGCAGCGACGCCGCGUGGGUGAAGAAGUAUUUCGGUAUGUAAAGCCCUAUCAGCAGGGAAGAAAGAAGACGGUACCUGACUAAGAAGCCCCAGCUAACUACGUGCCAGCAGCCGCGGUAAUACGUAGGGGGCGAGCGUUAUCCGGAUUCACUGGGUGUAAAGGGAGCGUAGACGGCCGUGCAAGCCAGGAGUGAAAGCCCGGGGCCCAACCCCGGGACUGCUCUUGGAACUGUGCGGCUGGAGUGCGGGAGGGGCAGGCGGAAUUCCUGGUGUAGCGGUGAAAUGCGUAGAUAUUAGGAGGAACACCAGUGGCGAAGGCGGCUUACUGGACGGCAACUGACGCUGAGGCUCGAAAGCGUGGGGAGCAAACAGGAUUAGAUACCCCGGUA
This 448-nucleotide ribosomal RNA is filed under the name uncultured bacterium. RNAcentral's name for it is "bacterial SSU rRNA". It matches the Rfam family "Bacterial small subunit ribosomal RNA", at positions 328 to 792 of the family's 1533-position model. The record is from RNAcentral.